Non-coding RNA from Salvelinus sp. IW2-2015, 1583 nucleotides. NCBI's taxonomy places the organism in Eukaryota, Metazoa, Chordata, Actinopteri, Salmoniformes, Salmonidae. The record is from RefSeq and is a predicted model, not a curated record.
UUGAAAAUCAUAUUUUCCUGUCCAAGAGACGUGAAUUUGAGAUAAAUAAACAAACGUUAUAUUUAAUUUAGCUACACAACGUUCGAAUGUAGCUGGUGGUUGUCACAUACAUUUGGCUCUGGUGAAAUGCGUGGUCUGGGGUGUCCUAAUCGAAGCGACAAUAAUAAGAGGUUUUACAUUUUCCUAAGGACCAGACUCGAAUAGAAGUGUGCCUUGCUGCCCUGCGAAAGACGGAGAAGUAGGAUUCAACAGAGGAGCACAUAUGUGAAAAACACUUUCUGACAGACCACAUAACGCCAYUUGGAAUAAGCGAUGAUGCCAUUCCUAUCAUGCCACCAUACCUCGACGGACCACUAAAUCUGAUCAGCCCGUGGGCGAGGAGGAAUUGGUGGAUGAUGAUGUUGCUACGGCUAAACACGGGAGGAUACGCUCAUGAUUACUUUGAUUGAUAGCUUUCUUAUCGCAUUGAUUGUAGUCGUUGUUUUUAGUAAUCCCUGUCUACAUAUAUUUUAUUUACAGAAUGUUGAUGUUGAAGAAGAAUAUGAUGAGCCAGGCCGAGACAGAACCAUCUGCAUCUAUGUAAGUCUAGGUCCUGUGAACUGGUUGAAGGCACAAAGACAAGACAAGUUUCAUGGACCUUAACCUCGUGGCAAAGAACCUCAACACAAGCAAACCGAGGGUCUAUGACCUCUAUGACCUCUGCCUGGAGGGGAUCAACCUUAUUCAGAAACAAUCUGCCAACAAGAUCAAGUGGUUAACGGCAUCUAGAUCCACCUGAAGGGAGGCAGGGGACCAAUCAAAGUGUUGACCUGUGAGCUGGGCGGGCCUCAGUGUGACACACAGGGAAGUAGAAAGACCAGACUUUCUAAUUUUGGAGGAGAGAUCAUGCUAACAGAUAACACAGAUAACAGCUGUGCUUUUCAAUCAAUCAAAUUCAUCAAUUGUUAAGCUUUAUUAGGUGCCCUAGAUAUUAAUUUAUCUGUAUGUAAAGUACAUUACUUCCUUGAGAUAUCCUACUCUGUAAGAAAGGGAUAUUAUGACAUGAUUGGAUUGGAACAUUGAAUGUGCUCCCCAAUAUGUUCACCAGAGGGAGCUGUUGACUAUAAAAUAGGUUUUCGAGAUGCUGUAUCAAAUGAGGUCAGCUACUUCACAAAAGAAAGGUAUUCUGCUAUUGUAAUUUUAGGAAGAGACCAUUUUUGUCCAUUUUUGUAAUAAUUUCUCUGUGUAAAAUCCCAAGGAUUAUAGCAAAAUUAAGGAAUGGAUGAAUGGAUUGUAAAAAUAUAACGUAGGUCAUUAAAUUGCACGCUUCAUUUUUAUACAUAUUUAGUUUUGAGUUAUCUGAAGUGAAUCAUCGUUUGAGGCCACAAUACACUACUACUGUAAUACUGUACAUUUUGAUCAUCUUGCAAAAUGUUAAAGUAUCAACGUGACCGGUAUUUUUCUCCCGCUCUGCUGGCGAGUAUUUUUCUCUGCUUAUACAUGACUAAUAAAGGCCUAGUGUACUAAUUUGGUAGAAACAAAAAUAUAUAUUAUUUGUAUUAGUAAUAUUAUGAUUUUUUAAUUGUGGUUAGGGUUGCACAUUU